This 11899-nucleotide long non-coding RNA is filed under the name Cucumis sativus (cucumber). RNAcentral describes it as "long non-coding RNA (CSAT_LNC001764)". The record is from RNAcentral. Lineage: Eukaryota; Viridiplantae; Streptophyta; Magnoliopsida; Cucurbitales; Cucurbitaceae.
GAUUUCCUCCCCUUUGCUUAUUGGUUUUUGCUGGGUUUUACUUUUAGCUUGUUGAGUUUACUCUGUAUUAAUGCUUUCUUGUUGUAUAAUUGUCAGUUCUAAACGUAGGUUAUAACUGCUAUGAUUAGAUUGGAUUCAUAAAUUUAUCCUUUUACAUUGAUAUCACCGUACUACUGAUUCUACACUGUACUGGUCUUUGAGUUGGUUUGUAGUUUGAUUCUGACUGUUCAUCAAUCCUUAUCCUAUUGUAUUGCUCUUUUUAGUGGUCCUUCAAGAUUUGAUGGAGAAAGAAGAUUUGGUGACCGAGAUGGCUACCGUGGAGGUCCUCGUGGGCCUGGUGGUGAUUUCGGUGAUAAGGGUGGAGCCCCUGCUGAUUACAGACCUUCAUUCGGGGUAUGCAAUUUUACCACUCUUUCUAUUUUUGCAAUUUUGUUAUUCAUAUGUUCAAAUUAGAUUUGCACAUUGCAACUGCUAGGGACUGGUUGAUCUUUACAUUUCUAACAUUAGUUACAGCUUUCUCUCCCAGUUGAGGAUAGCAAAAUUAAUGGCCUUUUAAGUGAUCUAUGUUCGUUCUUCAAUAUCGCAGGGUCCUGGCGGAAGGCCUGGCUUUGGCCGUGGAGCUGGUGGCUAUGGGGGAGCACCUGCACCAUCAAAUCUUGAAUGAACGAACAACAUAGGUGUAUGGGAGUGUUUUUGUUAGUUUAGUUUCUAAGCAAAUUGAAUCAAAGAUGUUGAAUUAAACUCAUGAGAUCUUAUCAGUUUUGUUUGCCUAUAAUUAAUUGUUGGAUAUUUGGUUGCUGAACUCUCUUUAAUGCCACCUAUUACAGAUUCCUCUAAUCCCCUUCACACUUCUUUUAUAUUAUGGAAUUCAUUAACUUAUUUCUGAAGCAUUCUAGCCUCAUUUUCAAUCUUGUCUUUUCUAAAUAUACUUCAAUCAAUAGUUCGAUUGUACCUGUGUUUUGAUCCCCAAAUUUGUCUAACAAGGAAGGUGAUUCCUCUUGCAUAUAGGUUAGUGAAUGUCAAAGGAACAUUGUACUUUAAUGAAACUAAUAACAUCAUUAACCGUGGGGAGAUGAGAAUCCUGCAUGGGAAAUCUCCAUAGGCUCUCUCCUUGAUGUCUAAAUGUGCUUUUUACACACACAAGUUGCUGAACAAUGAUCGUGUUACCUUUGUUAAGGAAUGUGACUUCUCAAUACAUUUGCAAUUUGCAAUGUAAAUGAUGAAUCUGUUUGUGCUUGGUACGUUGUAUUAUUGUAUUGUACGGCUCAUUGAUGAAAAGAUGACAUCAUAGUUUUCCAUUGUUGAAAUGCUUCUUUUUAUGAUAUUUUUGAGCCAAACUUGAAGUUUUCAAUCAUUCACGUGAAUUUCUUACAAUGGAUGAGCCGAGCCAUGUAGUACACAUAAAGAGGGUUUGUUCAAAGUUAAUAUGUUUGGCUGUCAAAGAGUCGACCAAGAACAGAAGGUUCUAACUCAACAUGCAGAUCUCUCGUGAAACUUUAACCACCAUAUCUUCAAAAAGAAGUUGAAAAAAGUGCUUCUGCUUUCUCUCAAACUUUGAGGGAGUCUACACUUUCUUCUAUCCUAAACUUUCUAGUUCUAGUAACCUUUUUUGUUUUAUAUCAUUUUGUUAUCAAUUAACCUUUUAUCCCUAGUUUUAGGUCGAACUAGUAUAUAUGGUAGAAAACUGAGUUAUUUUGAUCGAAGAGGAUUAACCAGUGAACUAAUAGUAAAUGAUGUGUAUGAAUCUAUUUAGAAUUUCAUGAUUUAUUGUUGUCUUCUUAUUGUUAGGUAUAGUUCAACUUGGUUUGAAAUUACUUGGAUAUUAAAUUGUUGGAAUGUUUGGCAAGAGGGUGUAAACAAGUUUCCUUAAUAUAGAAAGGACAACAACUAAACUCUAAUAAAAACUAAAUGAAUGUUAUCAAAUCAAUCAAACCAACCACAUUUUGGCAACACUAGUGCUGGAGAACAACCUCAUAUUUUGAACUUAUGCGGAGCGAACUAUUCGAACUAUCUUGAAUUGAGUAAAAGAGAGAAAAAGGGAGUGGUUUGAGAAGAAAAAAAAUGCUGAAGAUUUUGAAAAAGAAAGAAAAAGAGAACAUGAACAUAUUGUGAAAACUUUUGGGGACUGAUGGGGAAAUCUUGGAUGAAGUGAAUUUAAUGCAUUGGGGGGACAAAUCACAGCACUUUGUUAUUAAUUUCAAAGACACCCACAGGGUAACCUUUGCUGGAGAUUGGGCUAAGAUCUUAUUUCUUCUAAACUAUGAGGCCUUUUCUGCAAUUUCCCAAAUAAAUAUUAAUUUAUUUUUAGGGUCCCUUUUGUAUUUAUAAGCCUCAACUAUCUCAAGAGCAGUUGUGAAAGAAAGAUCCCUUCUCUUUUCUUUUAAUUCUUUUGUAUAGUUUUGAUUAUAUAUACAUAUACAUGAAACAACCCCUUUUGUUUUAAUUAAUUAUCUUUGUUUAUAUAGUCAACAACUCAACUCUCUUCUAGAAAGUUGAAGUUCAAAUCUUCCCAUCUAUUAUAAUUGAUUUAAAAAAAAUAACAAUAAUCUUUUUCUAAUAAUUUUUUAAUACAAUUAUAAAAUCUUGGUAGAGUGCAAUCUUAUAUAGAAAAAAUAGGAAACCAAAAAUUAUAAUAGAUGACAGGUUUGAGUUGAUAAAUAAAUGGAAUAGUUGUACUAUAUGUUAUUAGAAUGUUAAUACAAAUCAUAAUUUCAAGCCAAAUAAGUUAAAUGGUUAAACAAAUAACUAAAAUUUGAGUUAAUUUGUGUGUAUUUUGACUAAUUUUAGCAACUCAUUCUCUUUUGUUUUAUAAAGUUAUAAUCUCUAUUGACUAUGGACCAAUUCAUGAUAGUUAGCUUUAGGAUUUACCAUUUUUUUUUUUAAAAAAAAAGCAAUUGACAAUUCCAACUCUUUUUUUUAAUUAAUGAAUCCAAAUUGUUGAACAACAAGCAACUGUAUCAUUUUUUUUAAAUAGAAAGGAGGAGAUUUUAAGAAUGUUGGAUAAGGAGGAGAAAGAAAAAUAAGGAAGUUGAAAGAGCAAAUUUCUUAAAGUAGGGCUGAGCUGACCCAACUGCAACAGCAACAGCAACAUUGUGUAUGUAAUCGAUUUAAAGAAGGGAAAAAAAUAAAAGGUAAGAAAUUGCAUUAAUGGUGGUUUUAAUUACAUCUUAUUGGAGUAGAGAAGGGCGUUUGUUUUUGGUGGAGGGAAAAAAGUCAGCUCUGAUUCACGGAUUUUCAAACCAUUUUCAGAUCAAAAAGGAAGAACACAGAAGCCAAGCAAUCAAGCAAUCGCCAUUGCCAAUCGCUCUUCACAUUUUUCAGACCUUACUUUUUCAAAAAGCCCCAAAUUUUCACCUUUUUUUCAGAAACCCCAUUUCUCAUUUCUCUUCCAAUGCUUCCCCAAAUAUAGCAUUCGUUUUAGAUGUCAGUAACUGAGAAUAAACAAACUUCCCCCAGUUGCUGAUUCCCUUUGAAACCGCUUCUGGGUUUUCUUUCAAUUCCUAAAAUGGCUACUAAAGAAUCGAGUUCUACCACUGCCACUGAAGGCAAGAUUAAAGGCGUUCUUACUCAUGGUGGGCGAUAUGUGCAGUAUAAUGUGUACGGUAACUUGUUUGAGGUUUCAGCCAAGUAUGUUCCUCCUUUGCGACCUAUUGGUAGAGGUGCUUAUGGUCUUGUUUGGUAAGAUUUGUUUUUUGUCUGCUUGCUUGUUUUUGUUUAUGUUACUAGCAUCGAGUUUUAAAUGGUGGGGUUGUUCUUGUUUUGACGAUUUUUUAUAUCUAAACUGCUGUUCUUCUCUUCUUUAGCUAUUUUCUGAAAAGUUUGUGGAAGUUUUGGCGAUCCUCCUCCUGAUCUGCUUCCUGGUAGUUUACUUGUUUGGUGAACAUAUGUUCUGUUUCCAGUUUGGUUUGUUAAUGCUUAAUUUGAAUGAGGAAUAUGUUUUUGGGGGGUCUUCAGAGUUUGAAUCACCCAGUAAUGAAUCGUAUUAGAUCAUUUCUAUUGGCUCAUUUCAGUGUUGCUUGUGAUAAUUUGAACAUGGUUGGCAACAACAAGACGAGGGAAUUGAAUCUUUAAUCUCUUGGUCGAAGGUAUAGAUAUGUUUUGAUGAGUUGAGCUUGUGCUCAGGUUGAUACAUGGUUGGCUAAGCUUCGAAACCAUGAUUUGAUCAAACUUAGUUAAAUUGGAGACUCACUAAAGGAAACUAACUUUGUGGAAAUUAGAAGUUCAGUAGAAGGUGUAGUUCUAUUAAGGCUUACCUUUUUUCAAUCACAGUAUGUUGCUGCUACUUAUAAAUGUUUUCUUUCCUGUGGAACUUACCUAUGAAUCAUGGUUGUAAAUUGUUCAUUCAGUUGGAAGUUUCGAGUAAUAUUGUAAUGAUUUCAAUAACCAAACUAUGUUCUGUGUCGCAUAAUUUCUCUCUGUAGUGCUGCUGUAAAUUCAGAGACCCAUGAAGAGGUUGCCAUCAAGAAAAUUGGAAAUGCAUUUGAUAACAUAAUCGACGCCAAAAGGACAUUGAGAGAAAUUAAGCUUCUUUGCCACAUGGAACAUGAAAAUGUAUGGUUUGUUUCUAAGAAGUUAUAGUCUUCAUUUUUAUCUUAUAUUCCCUACUUUCAAUUAGCUUCAAUUAUUAGUAAGAGAAAGAUGGGGUGAGUGUUGGUUUUUGUGCUUCACUCUCUGUAACGACUCAAUUUUUAACCAUUCGCAGAUUAUUGCUAUUAGAGACAUCAUUAGGCCGCCAAAAAGAGAGGUUUUUAAUGAUGUGUAUAUUGUUUACGAAUUGAUGGACACUGAUCUUCAUCAAAUAAUUCGUUCUGACCAACCACUGACGGAUGAUCAUUGCCAGGUUUGAUGCUGCAAUUUUGUCUUAAAUCUUACUCUACUCCUGUGAUCUUUCUAUAAAAUAGGUGUUCAUGAUGGCCACAGUUGACGAAUUCUUCCUUUAUUUAGCAAGUUCAGGGCUUCGAGCCAAGCCCACCAAGAAAAUAAGUAAAAAAUAUAAAGUUUGAAGUUGGUUACUCAAGAAAAGUUCUCUAGUGAAUUGGUGCUAAUACAUUCAAAAUGGAAACUUUUUUACCAUUAUCUAAUGAACUGAUCCCUACCAAUUUCCAAUACCAGGGGUGUUAAUACAUGUGCUACUAUUCAUAAUUGAUCCAUUGUGAAGGCAAUGAAUGGAUUUUUUGUUGGGGUUUUGUCCUCAUAAUCUAUUUUACUACAUCAACUUUUUCGUUCUGGUAUGGCGAUACAUUUAGGAAUUGAUGAGGAUCUAAAUACUAAGACUAAGACCAUGUUACCUUAUAGUUAAAUUAUACUAUACCUUUUCUCUCUCCCACGAUAUUCUUAUCGGAAUUUUGCAACUUUCAUUAGCCACUAAACUGACAUAUUAUGCACCUGCAGUACUUUUUAUAUCAGUUAUUGCGUGGGCUGAAAUAUGUACACUCGGCCAAGGUCCUGCACCGUGAUCUCAAGCCGAGCAACCUGCUUCUGAAUGCAAAUUGCGACCUUAAAAUUGGAGACUUUGGAUUGGCAAGGACGACUUCUGAAACCGACUUCAUGACUGAAUAUGUGGUUACUCGCUGGUACCGAGCACCAGAAUUGCUCCUCAAUUGUUCAGAAUACACUGCUGCUAUUGAUGUUUGGUCUGUAGGAUGCAUACUUGGUGAGAUAAUGACCAGAGAACCUCUCUUCCCUGGCAAAGAUUAUGUUCAUCAACUCAGACUUAUAACUGAGGUACAACUUUUAAGGCUACAAGAGUUCAUGCGUUCAACUCUUUUUAUAUUUUAAAAAUCAAUUAGUAUGUCAUUUGCUCUGCUGUCUGCGGACUUUUAGAAGGGUGAAAAGUGCUUUUUUCCAAUUUAAAUCACUUUCUAGCCCUAGGGGAUAUGAAUUUUCAUCCUGGAUUCACUAGAAAUCUAAGCAACACAUACAGAAGCUUAGGGGAGAAUAAGAGAGUUCGGAUGUUCUGGGUCUUGCGCGCUCCACACACAAAGUUAGGAAUGUUGUAAAAGUGAAGAGUAGAAAAUAGAGAACAAGAAACAUUUCAAAGUUCUUUUGGAGAGGGAUUGGUCAGUCUGUCAAAAAAAGAUGAGAAGAGAGCAAAUGUCCCAACUGAAAUCAAUUCUGUUUAUUCUGAGAUCGUAUGAGUUUCAAUGGUGGUGGUGCUAACUGACGAUCUUGUAUGCUUGACAUCUUAUGUACAUGAAAAGCUGUUUUGCAGUCUGUUGAGAAGUUCCCUUGCAUUAUUACAUUGUUAAAUCUCCAUUAUCGUAGUUUCUUUUCUUGAGUACGUUUUCAGAAGUACUUUUGCCCUUCAUUCCUGCUGAAUAAAGAAGAAAAAAGAUGCGUAUUAUUUCAAUUUCGUUUGAAUUAAUCUGAUCAUUUACAUUGUUUCUUCUUCUUCUUUUUUUUUUCUUUUUCCAAUGUUAAAGCUACUAGGAUCACCAGAUGAUGCCAGCCUAGGAUUUCUCCGAAGUGAUAAUGCUCGAAGAUAUGUCAAGCAGCUUCCACAAUACAGAAAACAACAAUUCUCAGCUAGAUUUCCCAACAUGUCUCCAUCUGCCCUCGAUCUUCUCGAAAAGAUGCUCGUAUUUGAUCCCAACAAACGCAUCACAGGUUCGCCAAAAACCUUUCAUACUUUAACCACAAGAAGCCCUCAAUCGAUCUGUGCUUAGUUAUUCAUCAAAAUCAAAUAUGAUAACUCUGUACCCUUUUGCAGUGGAGGAAGCACUUUGUCACCCAUACUUGCAAUCUCUUCACGACAUCAAUGACGAGCCAGUCUGUGCCAGGCCUUUCAAUUUUGAUUUCGAGCAACCGUCGUGCACUGAAGAGCAUAUUAAAGAACUGAUCUGGAAAGAAUCCGUGAGGUUCAACCCCGACGAAUCCGCUAGGAGGACGACUCUUUGCGUUUGACAUGAUCUAGAUGCUGGAAUUGAGCACUUGUUUUCUUUUUCCUGACUAGGAUUUUACUCUCAUGAUCAAGUAGAUAAGAACAGCAGUAAAAAUUUGUAUGCUUACCCAUAUAAAUUGGAGUCCUCUGUAUUGUACAAGGAGCUGAUGCUGAUUUCUGUGAGGGAAUUGGGAGGUUCCCAGAAUCUUGUCAAACCCCAAUAAUUUUAGGCUUUGUAUGACUGAACGAAUUCGAAGAAACUAAGAACAAAAAACAACCGAAAAACCGAAUCGAAAACGGGGCAGAGUAUUAGGUAUUGGGAGAUUUUGGAGGAAAGAUUGUGGAUGUUUGUACUUUCCAUGGAUCUAAUGAACUAAGAAAUAAAGUGAAGGGUGUAAUGUUAGAGAUGAUCUCUUUGUAUUUGCUUCAAUGUUUGUCAAUCAAUUUGCAUACUAUUUUACUCUUAAUUAUGACUUCUCAACUCCAUCUCAUAUUUUAUGUUUGUGUUUGAAAUUUUGUGAUUUUCGUGUUAGGGGAAGGUUUUUAAUUAGGAAAGUGAUUAAUCCAACUAAAUUUAUAGGAUGAACGUAAGUGUAAGUAUCGCAUACCACUCGAAGUUAUAAGUUUGAAUAUUCAUAUCUAUACUUCUUGUAAUCUUCAUUCUUCAAAUGGUAGAUAAUUUAGUUCAUUAUAAAUUGGUAAAUUGGUUUGCAAUUGAAAUCAAAAUAAAUUAAGAGUUGAGAUUCAAACUUUUAUUGAAUGUACUAAAAGUGCAUUAAUUGUGACAAUGGAAAGUGGGGAACCAAAAAAGUCAUAUAAUUUUGUUUUAAAAUAAAAUAAGUGAUUUCACAUUUUCUCAAUUUUUUGGUCUGCCCAAAUUUAGAUGAAUGCAAAGUUGUUUAAAUUUAUUAUAUACUUUACACAUUAUAAUAUUUAUCAUUUUAAUUUGUACGUGGACCUCAUUGUGCUUCCAUCUCACAUCACCUUUUCCUCUCAUUUUAUUGGUCGUUAAGUAAGUAGGUAUUUUGAUAGUUAAUUAUUGUAAAAUAAAAUGUGUCUUAUCUACUAAGUUAUAUUAGAAGUAACAAAUUCGUUGUAGCAAUAAGUGAGGUGGAAAGAAAUUGAAUCUCUAACUUCUUGAUCGAACAACAUGUGCGUUAAUCAAUGACUUAUUGAAUUAAAAGUUAAAAUAAAAUAUUUGAUCAUGAAGAAGUUAUUGUACAAUAGUUUAUAUUCUACCGUGAUUAACUAAUGCGGACCAAGUAGAUGAUAGAUGAUGCCACCAUGGACGGUUAGGGUAAGAUGGACAUAAGGAGGGAUUGUUAUUUUCAUUAUCACUAAACAAAACAUUACCUUUUCUUUAAAAAAAGAAAUACAAAAAUGUUAUGUGAGCAUUUUCAGUAGCUAUGAAGACUUGAAUCAUAGAUCAAAUAAAACAUAAUUUUGACUUGAAUCAACGGAUACUUGAAACAUUACGAACCAAAAGUGUAUAUUAUAACAAAAAGAAUAUUAGAGUAAAUACACGAAAAGAAUGAUGUACAACCAUACCCACCGGAAGACGGGAUAAGGGUAUGUUAGUAACUUCACAAGAAGGAGAUGAGAAGUAAUAUUAAUGACAAAAGUUGGAAACAAGUGCAACACUUAGAUGAACAAAACUAACAAGACAUAACAGCACAUAACACAAACAAAACCAAUACCUUGCCUUAAAUAAUAUAAGAAGUGUAAGGUUAUUUUAGUAACUUAACCCUUAUACCAAAGGUGACAAUUCUUCUUUAACCAAUUGGCUACGCAGCCUCCAAGAAACUCAAACUUCAAUUUAAAUCGAUCCUAAUUUUUCAUAACUCUCGAAUUCCAUUUCCUUUCAUGACGACGGUGAUUUCGGCCGUUGCAACCGCCGGGCCGUACCGGUAUGAUUACGGGAGGUUGUUUCAACGCCCGGCCGCCGGAGCUCCGAGUCCAGGUUUUCCAUGGCGGUGUUUUGCGAAACAGAGGUGGAGAAGGAGAAGAUUGAUGGUUGUGAAGAUGAAGAAGAAGAAAAGUGAAGAAGAUGAAAUGGUUAAGGAAUUGAAAAUGAGUGUGGAGGAGAAAAUGGGGAAGAAGAAAGCAGAAAGAGAGGGUUAUUUGAUAGCUGCAAUUGUUUCGAGCUUUGGGAUCACUUCAAUGGCCGCCAUCGCUGUUUAUUACCGUUUCUCUUCCCAAAUAAUGGAGGUACUCUGUUCUCAUUAGCGUAUAUGUGUUAAAAUAAAACUAAUCGAUUCUAUUAAAUUAUUUUAUAUCUAACUUAUAAAUUAAUACUUGGUGUCAUCCAUAGAUUUCACUCUACAUUCCAGCUCCCCUCUCUUCGUCGUCUCUAUUAUAUACACAUCAAUAUCAUUAGUUGAUUGAGUAGUAAAUUAGUUUUUCAUAUCCUCUAAACUCCAAUCAAAUUCUAUACUUUACAUUUUUAUUCAUAUUGUAUUUUUACUUAUACAAUCCCAUCAACAAAAUUUACAUAUAGAUUUGUGAUUUGUGGUUGUUUGAUGCAUCUAAUCAUUUUGUAGCUAAAUUACUUUUUUCUAAAAGCGGAUGUAUUUCGACUUUUAGGUGAGUUGCUAAUUAAAAGAGAUUUAAAAAAAUUAAAAUAAAAAUGAGAUCAUGAAGUGUGUGAAACCAUAAAAAAGAGAGUUUGAUUGAAAAUAGUUGUAACAAAAUAUUCAAUCAAAACAUGAAUUUUAAAUUACAUUACAUUACAAACUCAUUUCAUUACAAUUCACUAAACUUCUAAAAUAUCCUCACUCAUUAUGUAUUAUUUAAACAAUUUAUCGAGACGUUUUUAUUGAAACACGAAUAAUAUACAUGUUUAGUUGGAAAAUGAAUCUAUAUAAUGUAUGUAAUGUGACAUAUUUUCAUAUAAAAAAGAAGUGGUAUGCAAUAAAUGUGGUAAGAAAUCUUUUUUAGCAUUAUGUUGGUAUAUACACUACCAUUUCUAUUUACAAUUUGACAAGUUAUGUGUUAAUGACAAGUUUGAGAAUUUUGCGUUCUGUUUUGGGACUUUCUCUUCUUUCCUCUUUCAAUAAUACCAUGGAUUUUCCUCUUUUCUUCUGCUUCAUCUUUUUGUUUCUGCUUUUACUUUCAUCCUAUGCUUUUAUAUAUAUAUAUAUAUUGGGAUCUAACCCUUUUAAAGUGUUUUUAGGGUAUGAAAUUUUUAUUAUUACUCAUGUAUUCAAAUACAUUAACUAACUAAGUGAUAUAAAGAAAUAGUUUGAAAAUUUUAAAUUGAAGAUAAAUUUAUUUAUGUUUUCGAUAAAAAGAAAAGAUAUGAGUUUUAUUAUCUAUUUUGCAGGGCGGAGAAUUUCCACUUUUAGAAAUGUUCGGCACUUUUGUACUAUCUAUUGGUUCUGCUGUAAGUUACGUUAUUUAAAUUUCAAAUGAACUAAAAGAGAUCGUUUGAAACAUUUAAAAAGUCAUUUCGACCAAUUCUGAAAACAUUUUUCACUGAUGACAGGUGGGCAUGGAAUUUUGGGCGAGAUGGGCUCACAAAGAGCUAUGGCAUGCUUCGUUAUGGGAUAUGCAUGAGGUAAUUAAUAAUAUAACGAAGGUGUUACAUACAGAAUAUAAUAAAGUUAAAAGAAGCAUAUAGUAAAAGUUGUUAUUAUUGGGUAGUCUCAUCACAAGCCGAGGGUUGGAGCAUUUGAAAAGAACGAUGUGUUUGCAAUUAUAAACGCGAUUCCAGCCAUUGCUCUUCUUUCUUUCGGCCUCUUCAAUCAAGGCUUCUUUCCCGGCCUUUGUUUUGGUGCCGUACGUCUCUUCUUUCUCUCCUCUUUUUUUACUUUUUUUUUUUUCAAUUAUACUUUACUCAUAGUUCAUUCCAUUUUUUUCUUAAAUUUCAAACACUUGUUUUGUUUUUGUUUUUGUUAAGAAUUGUGAAAAAAUAUAUUAAAUAAAAUAGAAAUUUCAAAACCAGAAAGCAACCAACAGAAUUUCGACUGAAUCAAACCUAAAGAUUGCUUCCAUCUAAAUCCAGAAAUAAAUUUGUAAUUUAUCAAAUAGAGUAUGAAGUAGAUUAGAUCUUUUUCUUUUUCUUAGAAAUAUGAAGCAAUAUUUAAAGUAUUUCCUACUAAUUUUAUGAAUAUUGAUGGAUGAUUCAUACUUUCCAACUUUAGAAUCAUUCCAACCUAACUUAGCAAAGUGGUGAAGGAAAAUGAAGUCCAAGUCAGCUUUUUGUAUGACGUGGCUUUCCACGAUUGGCAAUUGUACAGGGUUUGGGAAUUACGGUGUUUGGGAUGGCCUACAUGUUCGUCCACGAUGGCCUCGUUCACCGUCGUUUCCCCGUGGGUCCGAUAGCCGCUGUCCCCUACUUACGACGUGUCGCUGCUGCUCAUCAUGUACUUUUCGACUCGUCGUCCCUCUUGUCUAUUUAUUUUUAAUAUUUAAUACACUUUCAGAAACAUUUUAAAAAAUAGUAAAUUUGAUUAAAAAAAUUAAAAAAAUUAUCAGUUAUAUUCUUAUAAAAUUUAAGAGUUUUGUUAUAACUUAUAAAUAUUUUAAUUUAUUUUGUUAUUUUUAAAAAUAUUUAUAUUUUUAAAAAUUUUGUUUAUAUAAUUUUGUGCAGAUCCAUCAUACGGAUAAAUUUGACGGAGUUCCAUAUGGGUUGUUUUUAGGACCCAAGGUUAGUCUCGUCAUUUUGUAUGCUAAGUAUGAUUUCAAAGGCUGUAUUGUUCAUUCCCUGCCAAUAUUUUCAAUUUUUAUUUGGAAACAUAUUCACUAUAUUGCAUAUUCUUACACUUUGCUAUUAUUAUUACUAUUGAAUUUGAAAUUUAUUAAAAGAAUAUAUACUAAUUGUCUUAAACGACGGCGUUCGUCUUCAGGAACUGGAAGAAGUGGAUGGCGAGGAAGAGCUGCAGAAGGAAAUUAGGAGGAGAAAGGUUUACAGAAAUUAAAUUCAAUUUUCUUAUAAUGUUAUAAUUAUUUUUAUAAAAAUUACAACAAGUAGUAAAAAAGAAAAGAAAAGAAAAGAAGAAAAAAAACACCACUCUCUUU